Molecule: ribosomal RNA, 483 nt
Filed under: uncultured Gammaproteobacteria bacterium
Lineage: Bacteria; Pseudomonadati; Pseudomonadota; Gammaproteobacteria
Description: bacterial SSU rRNA
Rfam family: Bacterial small subunit ribosomal RNA
Source: RNAcentral
AAUGGGCGAAAGCCUGAUGCAGCCAUGCCGCGUGUGUGAAGAAGGCCCGAGGGUUGUAAAGCACUUUUAGGAGGAGGAAAGGUAGUAAGUUAAUACCUGCUACUGUGGUUGAAAAAGCACCGGCUAACCUGUGCCAGAAGCCGCGGUAAUACAGAGGGUGCAAGCGUUAUUCGGAAUUCUGGGCGUAAAGCGCGCGUAGGCGGAUUGUUAAGUCAGUUGUGAAAGCCCUGGGCUCAACCUAGGAAUGCGGCAUUGAAACUGGCAGUCUAGAGUUUAGAGAGGGAAGGGAAUUUCUGGAGUAGCAGUGAAAUGCGUAGAUAUCAGAAGGAACAUCAGUGGCGAAGGGCCUUCCUGGACUAAAACUGACGCUGAGGUGCGAAAGCGUGGGAGCAAACGGGAUUAGAUACCCCGGUAGUCCACGCCCUAAACGAUGUAACUAGCUGUUGGUCUUAUUAAAAAGAUUAGUAGCGCAGCUAACGCGAU